CCUACGGGUGGCAGCAGUGGGGAAUUUUCGUCAAUGGGCGCAAGCCUGAACGAGCAAUGCCGCGUGAACGAGGAAGGUCUUCGGAUCGUAAAGUUCUGUUGAAGGGGAAAAAGAGCGGAGAGAGGAAAUGAACUCCGAUUGAUAUUACCCUUCGAGGAAGUCACGGCUAACUACGUGCCAGCAGCCGCGGUAAUACGUAGGUGGCGAGCGUUAUCCGGAUUGAUUGGGCGUAAAGGGUGCGUAGGGGGCCUGCUAAGUCUGGAGUGAAAGGUACCGGCUCAACCGGGAUAGGCUUUGGAAACCGGCGGGCUAGAGAGCAGGAGAGGGGGGUGGAACUCCAGGUGUAGCGGUAAAAUGCGUAGAGAUAUGGAAGAACACCAGUGGCGAAGGCGGCCGCCUGGCCUGUUACGGACGCUGAGGCACGAAAGCGUGGGGAGCAAAUAGGAUUAGAUACCCGAGUAGUC
Molecule: ribosomal RNA, 464 nt
Filed under: uncultured bacterium
Lineage: Bacteria
Description: partial 16S ribosomal RNA
Rfam family: Bacterial small subunit ribosomal RNA
Source: RNAcentral